RNAcentral lists this ribosomal RNA (468 nucleotides) under uncultured bacterium. RNAcentral's name for it is "partial 16S ribosomal RNA". It matches the Rfam family "Bacterial small subunit ribosomal RNA", at positions 28 to 507 of the family's 1533-position model. The record is from RNAcentral.
GACGAACGCUGGCGGCGUGCUUAACACAUGCAAGUCGAACGGAAAGGCCCUGCUUUUGUGGGGUGCUCGAGUGGCGAACGGGUGAGUAACACGUGAGUAACCUGCCCUUGACUUUGGGAUAACUUCAGGAAACUGGGGCUAAUACCGGAUAGGAGCUCCUGCUGCAUGGUGGGGGUUGGAAAGUUUCGGCGGUUGGGGAUGGACUCGCGGCUUAUCCGCUUGUUGGUGGGGUAGUGGCUUACCAAGGCUUUGACGGGUAGCCGGCCUGAGAGGGUGAACGGCCACCAUGGGACUGAGAUACGGCCCAGACGCCUACGGGAGGCAGCAGUGGGGAAUAUUGCACAGUGGGCGGAAGCGUGAGGCAGAAACGCCGCGUGCGUGAUGACGGCCUUCGGGUUGUAAACCGCUUUGGCCUGUGACGAAGCGUGAGUGACGGUAAUGGGUAAAGAAGCACCGGCUAACUACGUG